RNAcentral lists this ribosomal RNA (446 nucleotides) under uncultured bacterium. Its description in RNAcentral is "partial 16S ribosomal RNA". It matches the Rfam family "Bacterial small subunit ribosomal RNA", at positions 354 to 796 of the family's 1533-position model. The record is from RNAcentral.
GUGAGGAAUAUUGGUCAAUGGGCGCAAGCCUGAACCAGCCAUCCCGCGUGCAGGAAGACGGCGCUAUGCGUUGUAAACUGCUUUUCCAGGGAGAGAAACUUGCGCACGUGUUGCGCAAUUGACGGUACCCUGGGAAUAAGCAUCGGCUAACUCCGUGCCAGCAGCCGCGGUAAUACGGAGGAUGCGAGCGUUAUCCGGAUUCAUUGGGUUUAAAGGGUGCGUAGGCGGACUAUUAAGUCAGUGGUGAAAUCCUGCAGCUUAACUGCAGAACUGCCAUUGAUACUGAUAGCCUUGAGUUUGGUUAAGGUAGGCGGAAUGUGUAAUGUAGCGGUGAAAUGCUUAGAUAUUACACAGAACACCAAUUGCGUAGGCAGCUUACUGCGCCGACACUGACGCUGAGGCACGAAAGCGUGGGGAUCGAACAGGAUUAGAUACCCGUGUAGUCC